This is a long non-coding RNA of Oncorhynchus keta (chum salmon), 744 nucleotides long. RefSeq lists it as uncharacterized. The record is from RefSeq and is a predicted model, not a curated record. The transcript is spliced from 3 exons. Lineage: Eukaryota; Metazoa; Chordata; Actinopteri; Salmoniformes; Salmonidae.
GUGAGGUCUACUACACCUGUUGUAUUCAGCAUUUCACUGUGAGGUCUACUACACCUGUUGUAUUCAGCAUUUCACUGUGAGGUCUACUACACCUGUUGUAUUCAGCAUUUCACUGUGAGGUCUACUACACCUGUUGUAUUCAGCAUUUCACUGUGAGGUCUACUACACCUGUUGUAUUCAGCAUUUCACUGUGAGGUCUACUACACCUGUUGUAUUCAGCAUUUCACUGUGAGGUCUACUACACCUGUUGUAUUCAGCAUUUCACUGUGAGGUCUACUACACCUGUUGUAUUCAGCAUUUCACUGUGAGGUCUACUACACCUGUUGUAUUCAGCAUUUCACUGUGAGGUCUACUACACCUGUUGUAUUCAGCAUUUCACUGUAAGGUCUACUACACCUGUUGUAUUCAGCAUUUCACUGUAAGGUCUACUACACCUGUUGUAUUCAGCAUUUCACUGUGAGGUCUACUACACCUGUUGUAUUCAGCAUUUCACUGUGAGGUCUACUACACCUGUUGUAUUCAGCAUUUCACUGUAAGGUCUACUACACCUGUUGUAAUUCAGCAUUUCACUGUGAGGUCUACUACACCUGUUGUAUUCAGCAUUUCACUGUAAGGUCUACUACACCUGUUGUAUUCAGCAUUUCACUGUGAGGUCUACUACACCUGUUGUAUUCAGCAUUUCACUGUGAGGUCUACUACACCUGUUGUAUUCAGCAUUUCACUGUGAGGUCUACUACACCUGUU